AACGCACAUUGCGCCCGCUAGUACUCUAGCGGGCAUGCCUGUUCGAGCGUCAUUUCAACCCUCAAGCCCUGCUUGGUGUUGGGGCCCUACGGCUGCCGUAGGCCCUGAAAGGAAGUGGCGGGCUCGCUACAACUCCGAGCGUAGUAACUCAGUAUCUCGCUAUGGACGUUGCGGCGGCGCUCCGGCCGUUAAAGACCCAUCUUUAACCAAGGUUGACCUCGGAUCAGGUAGGAAUACCCGCUGAACUUAA
This 250-nucleotide unclassified non-coding RNA is filed under the name uncultured Coniochaeta. Its description in RNAcentral is "sequence contains ITS2". The stretch from base 1 to 52 matches the Rfam family "5.8S ribosomal RNA", at positions 103 to 154 of the family's 154-position model. The record is from RNAcentral. Lineage: Eukaryota; Fungi; Ascomycota; Sordariomycetes; Coniochaetales.